Molecule: unclassified non-coding RNA, 233 nt
Filed under: Hysteriales sp.
Lineage: Eukaryota; Fungi; Ascomycota; Dothideomycetes; Hysteriales
Description: partial contains 5.8S ribosomal RNA, internal transcribed spacer 2, and large subunit ribosomal RNA
Source: RNAcentral
CGCACCUUGCGCUUGCUGGUAUUCCGGCAAGCAUGCCUGUUCGAGCGUCAUUUCAACCAUCAAGCCCAGCUUGGUAUUGGACCCGGCCCUGGGGCCAGUCCGUAACUAGUUGGCGGUGCUGUGCAGCCUUAAGCGUAACAGAAAUCUCGCUUCUGGGUUGACGCGGCGUCUGCCGGUUAAGACAUUCUCUGAAGUUUGACCUCGGAUCAGGUAGGGAUACCCGCUGAACUUAA